This 342-nucleotide ribosomal RNA is filed under the name Theileria ovis. Its description in RNAcentral is "SSU rRNA". It matches the Rfam family "Eukaryotic small subunit ribosomal RNA", at positions 548 to 923 of the family's 1831-position model. Lineage: Eukaryota; Apicomplexa; Aconoidasida; Piroplasmida; Theileriidae. The record is from RNAcentral.
UUGGAGGGCAAGUCUGGUGCCAGCAGCCGCGGUAAUUCCAGCUCCAAUAGCGUAUAUUAAAAUUGUUGCAGUUAAAAAGCUCGUAGUUGAAUUUCUGCUGCAUUGCUUUUGCUCCUUUACGAGUCUUUGCAUUGUGGCUUAUUUCGGACUUUGUUUUACAAUGUCCGGAUGUUUACUUUGAGAAAAUUAGAGUGCUCAAAGCAGGCUUUCGCCUUGAAUAGUUUAGCAUGGAAUAAUAAAGUAGGACUUUGGUUCUAUUUUGUUGGUUUUAGGUACCAAAGUAAUGGUUAAAAGGAACAGUUGGGGGCAUUCGUAUUUAACUGUCAGAGGUGAAAUUCUUAG